RNAcentral lists this ribosomal RNA (263 nucleotides) under Staphylococcus aureus. RNAcentral's name for it is "partial 16S ribosomal RNA". It matches the Rfam family "Bacterial small subunit ribosomal RNA", at positions 1033 to 1297 of the family's 1533-position model. Lineage: Bacteria; Bacillati; Bacillota; Bacilli; Caryophanales; Staphylococcaceae. The record is from RNAcentral.
GACAGGUGGUGCAUGGUUGUCGUCAGCUCGUGUCGUGAGAUGUUGGGUUAAGUCCCGCAACGAGCGCAACCCUUAAGCUUAGUUGCCAUCAUUAAGUUGGGCACUCUAAGUUGACUGCCGGUGACAAACCGGAGGAAGGUGGGGAUGACGUCAAAUCAUCAUGCCCCUUAUGAUUUGGGCUACACACGUGCUACAAUGGACAAUACAAAGGGCAGCGAAACCGCGAGGUCAAGCAAAUCCCAUAAAGUUGUUCUCAGUUCGGA